AUAUCGCGAGGUGCCAGCCGCCGCGGUAAUACGGAGGAUCCAAGCGUUAUCCGGAUUUAUUGGGUUUAAAGGGUGCGUAGGCGGCCUGUUAAGUCAGGGGUGAAAGACGGUAGCUCAACUAUCGCAGUGCCCUUGAUACUGAUGGGCUUGAAUGGACUAGAGGUAGGCGGAAUGUGACAAGUAGCGGUGAAAUGCAUAGAUAUGUCACAGAACACCGAUUGCGAAGGCAGCUUACUAUGGUCUUAUUGACGCUGAGGCACGAAAGCGUGGGGAUCAAACAGGAUUAGAUACCCUGGUAGUCCACGCCCUAAACGAUGAAUACUCGCUGUUGGCGAUACACAGUCAGCGGCUAAGCGAAAGCGUU
RNAcentral lists this ribosomal RNA (364 nucleotides) under uncultured bacterium. Its description in RNAcentral is "bacterial SSU rRNA". It matches the Rfam family "Bacterial small subunit ribosomal RNA", at positions 495 to 861 of the family's 1533-position model. The record is from RNAcentral.